UGGGGAAUAUUGGACAAUGGGGGAAACCCUGAUCCAGCCAUGCCGCGUGAGUGAUGAAGGCCUUCGGGUUGUAAAGCUCUUUUGUCAGGGAAGAUAAUGACGGUACCUGAAGAAUAAGCCCCGGCUAACUUCGUGCCAGCAGCCGCGGUAAUACGAAGGGGGCUAGCGUUGUUCGGAAUUACUGGGCGUAAAGGGCGCGUAGGCGGCUCUGUAAGUCAGGAGUGAAAUCCCUAGGCUCAACCUAGGAAUUGCUUUUGAGACUAUAGGGCUUGAGUACAGGAGAGGUGAGUGGAAUUCCCAGUGUAGAGGUAAAAUUCGUAGAUAUUGGGAGGAACACCAGUGGCGAAGGCGGCUCACUGGCCUGUAACUGACGCUGAGGCGCGAAAGCGUGGGGAGCAAACGG
This 403-nucleotide ribosomal RNA is filed under the name uncultured bacterium. RNAcentral's name for it is "bacterial SSU rRNA". It matches the Rfam family "Bacterial small subunit ribosomal RNA", at positions 355 to 775 of the family's 1533-position model. The record is from RNAcentral.